UACGUAGGGUGCGAGCGUUAAUCGGAAUUACUGGGCGUAAAGCGUGCGCAGGCGGUUCGUUGUGUCGGUGGUGAAAUCCCCGGGCUUAACCUGGGAAUGGCCAUGGAAACUGGCGAACUGGAGUGCGGCAGAGGGGGGUGGAAUUCCGCGUGUAGCAGUGAAAUGCGUAGAGAUGCGGAGGAACACCGAUGGCGAAGGCAGCCCCCUGGGCUAGCACUGACGCUCAGGCACGAAAGCGUGGGGAGCAAGCAGG
Molecule: ribosomal RNA, 253 nt
Filed under: uncultured bacterium
Lineage: Bacteria
Description: partial 16S ribosomal RNA
Rfam family: Bacterial small subunit ribosomal RNA
Source: RNAcentral